GAUGAACGCUGGCGGCGUGCCUAAUACAUGCAAGUCGAGCGAACGGACGAGAAGCUUGCUUCUCUGAUGUUAGCGGCGGACGGGUGAGUAACACGUGGAUAACCUACCUAUAAGACUGGGAUAACUUCGGGAAACCGGAGCUAAUACCGGAUAAUAUUUUGAACCGCAUGGUUCAAAAGUAAAAGACGGUCUUGCUGUCACUUAUAGAUGGAUCCGCGCUGCAUUAGCUAGUUGGUAAGGUAACGGCUUACCAAGGCAACGAUGCAUAACCGACCUGAGAGGGUGAUCGGCCACACUGGAACUGAGACACGGUCCAGACUCCUACGGGAGGCAGCAGUAGGGAAUCUUCCGCAAUGGGCGAAAGCCUGACGGAGCAACGCCGCGUGAGUGAUGAAGGUCUUCGGAUCGUAAAACUCUGUUAUUAGGGAAGAACAUAUGUGUAAGUAACUGUGCACAUCUUGACGGUACCUAAUCAGAAAGCCACGGCUAACUACGUG
This 497-nucleotide ribosomal RNA is filed under the name uncultured bacterium. RNAcentral's name for it is "partial 16S ribosomal RNA". It matches the Rfam family "Bacterial small subunit ribosomal RNA", at positions 28 to 507 of the family's 1533-position model. The record is from RNAcentral.